UCAAAAAUUUUCAAAAGUAGGUACUUGGCUUAGGAACUAAAUUCCAUUUUCAAAAAAUAUUUAUGCACAUAAAAAUACUCAGGCUCAUUGGCCUCUAAGUCCAUUUGGAAAGAUGAUUUAAAAAGCACAGAUAAAGCCAAUUAUUUCAGCACAAACUGAGAUUCAGGCAGGCAGAAAAAGAAAGUAUGAAGAGAUGAUUGAGAACAUUGCAGAAGAUAAAAGAAAAAAUAUAAACUGAAAAGUAGGCAUAAAAAGCAUCUCAUGCAAUUUGAGAAACUAAAUGCAGGGUAGCUGAAGAGAGGAAAAAAGGCUGUGAUACAGCUACUGAAUGAAAUUGUCAUUGGGUUUUUGGGGUUUUUUUGCUUCUCCAUAUUUUUUUCUGAAUCCUGAUUUUCUCCUCACACUGACAAAACUAUCUUGCAUAUACUGUGUCAGACAUUUGUUCCAUAGCUGCAGACCUGGCUAGCAGCCCUCUUUAGAAACGUAAUAUGUACAUUUCCCUCACUUGCUAGGCCUAUGCAGAGAAGGGGCUGCUCUUGAAGACACAUUUCAAAGGAGAGGCUGGACGAGAUGAUCUCCAGAGGUUUCUUCAAACCAAAGUUAACAUGGACUACUCUGAACACUCCAUUUCCCAUAAUGUACCUUAAUUUCAGUGGGAUUUUUGGGUGAAUAGGAUAAAUCACUGUAUCUGCAACUGUUGUGUGUAUCUGCAGCUGCAGUGAAGCUGUGAUCAUUUGAAAAUUCAUGGACUCCAUCUAACACAAUUAAGAGAAUAGUAAGAAAUUAGGCACACCAUGUUGGAGGUGUUUAAAACCAGGGAACUUACAUCCUCUUUUCAGGGAGAAAAAAAAAAAAUCCCCAAAAAAUUAAAGACCUUGAAGGAAAGCACUUGACAGAAUGAUGAAUAAUGUCUGUCUUGUACACCACGUGAGGGGAAAGGAAAGCAGCACCUCUGUCACUCAGAACUGGAAGGAAAGUAAAAGGAAAUGGCACAUUCUCUCUCCAGAAAUACCCUGUACUUCUGAAAUGUGCAGUACUGUCUGUAAACUUUGUUAUGUCAGUUUUGGUUGGCGUAGCAUGGUACUUGCAAGGAAAGAUCAAUAAAAACAAAAAGGUAGUGUGUGUGAGUUGAUGAAAACAAAAUGACAACAAUUUCCAGGUAAAAAGUACAGGAAAUCAAUUGGUCAUGCAUGUCAGCAUGAAAUUAAGACAACUGCAUGCAGAAUCAGAGUUAUCUCUGUCAUAUUUCUAUGGAAGUGUUACCAGAUAUUACACAAGGGAUUGGCAGAGUUUCUUAAACUAGUCCGGAAAAAUAACUUUACUUGAGUGUCAUCCAUUUGUGCAACUCAGCUUAUACUUUGUACAUCUGAAAGUUCUUAGGUCUUAAAUUUAAAAUGAACUAUAUAAAACCAAGGAAUUAAUUUGGAGUUUAUGGAAUUUCUUCCCCGAGUUAAUGUAAAAAAACAUCUUGAAGGCCCACUGUUCUACAGGUAUUACACAGCCUGUUUUUUUUUCAUUUAGCCCAGAGUUCUGGUGACCUGUAACCAAGCCAUGUAACACUGAGAUCACACAUUGAGAUCAGAGAUUACCCUGUUUAAGAGAAGAUACUUAGUGCCUCCUAACACGUUCACAGAAAAUCAGAUAUUAGUUUUUUAAGAUCUAAUUUUACCAAGAGAGAAGUAUGCUGUUCCCAAGGGAGUUCUCUGUGCAGACUGCAGCUACUGAAACCCUUUUCUCUAAGUUGUACACUGGAUGUGCUUUUGCAUUUUCUGCAUACCAGUGAUGGUAGGAAGGGAUCCCCGAAGAGGAGCAUUCCUUGAGACCAUCAACAGCAUUAAUUCAGUGCACUGGAGUCCUUGGAACUGGUAUCCUGGAACACCAUUGCCUAUCAAUUUUCUGAGGAUUCUCUUGACACCAGGAGAGCUGUUAUAUUUAGAUGCUUAUCUGCUUUUGACUGCAGUGCAGUGCUUGCGAAGAUGUCUUUCAUUUUGAGGCUUAACACAUUAAAUAUCACCUGAUCUGAAGAUGUUUGAGGGUGUAGAGCCUGUGGCAUAGAAUAAAUGUCUUGUCUAAAAAUAGCGUUACAUUUCUGCAUAGCCCUUCAUUUUGUGUAGCUCUACUUUGUACAUAAAUUAAGGCACAAAGAGAAACUAAAGGUCUGUCUUCACACUGACAGAGGGAAGAAAUCUAAAAGCUUAAAAAGAAAAUCCUCUGACAUUCCUACUCAAAAUCUCCCCAGUAUGUCCAAAAACUACUUUGAAUAGCAGAAGCCCUUCAAAGGCUUCUAGAUGGAAAACAGAAAAAAUGAAAGCUGCAGUGUCAUGCUGAAUCACAGAUAUAACAGCACAGAUUAAAGCGGCAAUAACUCACUGAAUAUUCACUUUGAUUAUGUGAGGUUUAAAUAAGGCCUUUAAACCAAGAUUCCUCUGUGACUAGAUCUUUAGUGUACACCCACUUAAUCUCUUAAAUUACUAUUUCUUAACAUUUUAGGAAAUAAUAGAUCACUAGAAUAAAAUUACUGGUCUAGUAGAUAAAAGGAGAAGAGCCAAGUAACCAUAACCACCAUGGGCUAUGUUAAAUAACACUGUGGGUUAGCAAUGACAAAGCACUAGGCAACAGCAGCCUGUGUGCCUAUGUCAUAUGAAUAUCCCCCAAAUAGGCAAAUCUGUCACUUGAAUGUCUACCCAUUGCAGCCCUUUUCAAAUCACAAAAGCUUUCUCUUACCCAAAUCUGAAAAUAUCAUCAACAUAUGCUUUUUAACACUAAAACUUUGAGCUGGAUCUUCACAAAUAAAAAAUACUUAAUACUAUGCUAUGAAAUCAUCAUUUGCAAGCUGUCCACAGAUACCAGUCCAGCUCUCCUAAAGCACUUCUGGUAAGGAGCUUAUUCCCUACAUACCCACAUAAAACUGCUUAUCAUUGUUUUAUUUACAGCUAAAUUUAUUACUUCGAGUUGUGGUCAUUCAACAGUGGAAGUGGAGAAAAUUUAGCAAGACCAUAAUGCCCUGAAGCUGUAGAAUGAGCUUCUGACUGGCUCAUCAAAGUUGGCUUGGGCCAUCACAGCAAUGCAGAAACAUAUGGUUAAGGUUAAGAUUUAGUCACAAUAUAGUCCUGAUGUCUUACCAUGACUAUUAAAGAAAUGAGGAUUUUCUUCUCUUCCAGUCUAUUCUGUGUUUUUUCCUUUGGUAGCAAUGGAGCUAUUGAAAUGCUAAUCAUAACUUUUUCAUUCCACAUUAAGAACAGAGAGGAAAGCAUUAAGAAUAUUUAGGAGUUUCAUUCCUAUGAUUUCAGUGGUUUUCCUGUAUUGAGGGCAGGAAGACUAUGAGAGAGAAAAUGAAAAAGGAAGAGAAGGGAAAGGGGAAUUUAGGGAAAUCUCUCUACUAUUAAAGAAUUGGAAAGACAUUUACUUCCUUCAGAUGCUGUCUUUAAAGAUGUUGCUUAUAAAAUAUAGGACAAAAUAUUAUUGCAAAAGUCUUACAUAUAGAACAAUCUUGAGAUUCCAGCCUUUGAGGUAUUUCCAAUCAAAUGCCUUGGUGAGUCAUGAAUUAGUUGAAAAGAUAAAACUAGCAACACAGUCCUAAAAUUAUAGUUAUACAGCAUAAAUUCUCAGCUUGGUAACAAACAGAUAAUUUAAUGAAUUACCAUCAUCUUAUCUUACUUUCCUUUUAAGUAUUACUAUUUGUAGUAGUGGAUACGAUCAAGGUGGAAAUUACUUUUUCAAAUCACCCUCUUUUUAAUUUUUUUCCAAAUUUAUGACAUCUGUGUUCUUGGCUCAUUCAUAAUGAAGACCAUGAACAUGUCCCUCUCCAGCAUGUAUAUUUUUCAUUCAUUUGUGAUACCAGAAUGUACACAUCAAGGAAUGUUUCUCACAACACAAUUAUUUUCACUCUAUUUAGGGAAGCAGGCUUUUUUGUUGCUCUUUUUGUUGGCUUUUUUCCCCUUGAAAUCAGCACUAAUUUCUUCCAGAUGUUUGUUAUACUAAUAGAGAAGAGUAAAAAUUCAGUAAAGGAAAAGAAAACUAAUUUAUAUUUUACCUGUUUAAACUGCUUUAAAACAAUUUCAACAAUUGCUGCAUACUCUGUGAAGUCUGUAAAUUCCGGUUUAGCUGUUUUAUAAUCACUAAAGCCACAGGCAAUGUGUAUGCAAAAUGUGAUAGAAUUAUGAGGUGGGAAAAUCUGACAAAACUGCAAAGAUAAUGUGGCCUCUAUGUUGCUGCUUUCUAUAAUUUCUAUCCCCUUUUCCAUCCUCCAUAACUUUUCUCAAAAGGUAAACUGAAUAGAUAAUAUGUAAUAAAAAAUGGUACCAAUACUGGCUGAAAUCUUCAGGAAGGCAUUACAAAAUAAAAUUUGCUUACCAAGAAAGGAAUAAUAAACCCAACAUGAAUCUGUAUUUCAGACAUUAUUUUAUAAUAUGAUGAAAAAUGCCCUGGUAUGUACAGUUUUAUGGUAAAAAAACAUUGUCAGAAGACAGAUUUUGUAGGGCUAAAAUAAUUUUUUAGCAACUGUGUAACAAAUCAGUUCUUGACUCUCUAGGAUGAUGCCAAAAUUGUACAAUUGACUUGAUUGGUGCUACUCAUACUAGGCAGGAUGGUGUGUUUAUAAAGUGUAUAUAAUGUUGAGAAUACUGUAUAUAAAGGUAAGAAUGACAUCCAGCAAUAAUCUCUUCAUUUUGUAUUGAAUUGCACCCGCAUCUAUGAGCCUCUAUAAUUCUAGAGACUUAUUUUAUUCUAUUAUUUUAAUGUAAAAUACUUGAACAAUCCCAAGAGAGUGUUCAUGUGCAUUGGUUUCACAUUUUCUGCACUUUCUAAAUCUAGCCAAGACCUUACAUACACAGUAUCCAUUGAUCUAUUUAAUUAGGAAGCAAAGAAAUCACAUCUCUAGUAUGCAAUGCUAAGUGUCUUUAUGGAUAAAAAGCUUUCAAGAAUUAGAACAAAGAUGAAAGGAAUACCCACACAUUAAAGCUUAGGGUACCUCAGGGCAAGUGAAAUACAUUAAGUGGGCACUUACAGCAUUUAAGUUUAAAAUUAACUUUUGAUAUAAAUCAGCAGAGGUCUAUCUGAUCAAACUCUUGGAUGAGCCUUUGUGAUAACUAGGGUGUAAUCUCUAUAGUCUAUUGCAAAUCAUAAUGCCAAGCACUGCAGAGUUACAAUUAGCCUACACAGAUAAACAGAAGUUUUAUCUCAAUAUUUUGAUGAUUUAAAGAAUAUUACAGACAUCCACAUUUCACAGAACAAGUGGUUAUACACUAUGUAUUACUGGUUAGGCUUCUUUAACUAUGUGCAAUUUUACUGAACUCUGCAAGUAGGACAAUGAGACAUCAAUGUAUGCUCGAACUGAAUCAGUAAUGUCUUGCAAAACAAAAUUAAAGUAUAUGUGUAUGGUAAACAAGAAAACAUGAAUUCAUAGUCAAAACACCAGAAAUUACAAAUUCCAAGGUUUUGGAGAACUUUAGAUUUUCCCUUUGGAGACAGAUGUUAAUUUUCUUCAUUCUGUAAUGCACCUUACCUCACACAAAGGAGCAAAUACAAAACAGUAAGGAAGAUGUGCCUGGAUAUGUGUCAAAACCCACCUCUCAAAACCCCACAUUAAAACCUAUUUCUCAAACACAUUUAGAAGUGGAAGCUAAAGGUGAACAGAUGUGAACCAAGUGUACUGUUCCCUUCCUUUCUUGAUGCAGCAGAAUCUGGUUAGCUUUCCUACCCAUUUGAGAAUGGUUUGUGAGACAAAAUGAUUGUGGUGGAAUUAGUGUUUGAAACUGGACAUCAUGGGGAGAAAAGGAGAUCAGACAAAAUCUGCUCCAAGACCAUCAAAUUUCCAACUCACAUAAGAACCUUGUUUUCAUACUGGAUUUUUAAAAAUGAUCCCUUCUGAGGCACCAAAUACCCAUUUGAAGUACGCCAAUAUAUUAAUCUGAGCCAUCUUUUUCUAUAACCUAGGUAAUGAUAUUUGAAGCCUGCCUUUCCAUAUCUGAAUUUUGAACUGAUUGGAAGCUGAGAUUUUUUGUGUCAUUCCUAUCAUCAUGUCAAGUGAAAUAUGACCUCAUCUGCAAAAAUGCUUAGAAAUUUAUCUAAAGAUAAACUGAGAGACACUUGUCUUCUGUGGCAGUGGUUUCAAAUAUCUGAUAGUGAAGUGUUAAUUGUCAGUAAAAUACAACUGCUUUGUGCAUUUUUUUUAAUAAACCCAAAUUUUAUACUGGAAUAACAGCUGUUGCCAAACAAAAUGGAUAGAGCAGUUACCAAAAAAAAAACCAGCUAUCAAAUAGAACUGGUAGGGUCUCUUCAUGAAUAUAUUCAUCCUUCAAUAUAAUUUCAGCCUAAUUAAAAAAUAUCACAAACUAAAGUGCAUAGUUAAUUACAGGACUUACUUUUACAAACUUCACAUUGUUAAUUUUUUUUCUUGGAAAGAAAAGUGCACUGAAAAGAUAGUUCCUAAUGUUAUUUUGCUUUUGCAGAGCUGGCCAAAAGCCAAAUUUGAACAGGCAUGCUUUAUAUGUAAAACUUAUCAUGCAGUUCUAAUUAAAAUCUACUGAAGCUUUCAGCUUCAUUUAGGAGAGUUCAUGUUCUGAAUGCUUUUUGUUUUCUUUUGGUUGCAUUAAAUGUCAGGAGAAACUAUCACACUUUCUUAAAUUAAAUAAGAUGGACUAAUUUUUAAAACAUUGGGAAGCAAAACCCCACAUUUUAUUUCUUAUGACAAAAAUCUCACAGGAUUUUUAGUGACACAAGUUCUGCCUUCAGCAAAUAUUCAAUAUCAGCCUGUGGAGAAAUAAAAAAUAUUUCCAAAAAGACAGUAUUUAAUUAUUUAUUUUCAUUGAUAGAAUAUAUGUUUUUACAUAUAAGUACAUCUCACUGGGAUUUAUACUGAAUGUAGCUGAUUUAACCACAUGUACAAAGCACCUAAAUCUGUUUCUCUCUUUUAGUGUAUUAAUUUAAAAUGCUAUUUAAGUGUGUGCCACUGCUGAAGUGGUUAACUCUGGGCAGUUUUUCUAAGAAAUACAUUUUCUAUGAAAUCUCCUCAUUUUAGUAGGUAAACAUUAACUGGCAAGAUAGUAGAUAUUUGCAGGUAUAGACCAUUUCUAUUGUCUUCUGUCUAUAUUAUAUGUAUUGAGCAGGUACAUCUAUGGUAUAUAAUUUAUACUAAGAUAACAAUUAAUAGUUAGUAAUAUAAUGCAAUGAAGAAAAGACUAAAAAUAAAUAAUACUGCAAAGAUUAUAACGUGGAACAUAGAUAAAGAUAUAGAUAUAGAUUAUAUAGAUAGAGAUACUAAGGAAACAGUAAUUUUCUUUGUGCCCUAUGGAAAGUGUAAGUGAAUUGGUGAGACAACACAGAUUGAACUACCAUCAACAGUGCUGAUAAA
Molecule: non-coding RNA, 7351 nt
Organism: Zonotrichia albicollis (white-throated sparrow)
Lineage: Eukaryota; Metazoa; Chordata; Aves; Passeriformes; Passerellidae
Source: RefSeq, a predicted model, not a curated record